GAUGAACGCUGGCGGCGUGCUUAACACAUGCAAGUCGAGCGAGAAGUUUUGAAAAGCUUCUUCGGAUGAAAUUUAAAAUGGAAAGCGGCGGACGGGAGAGUAACGCGUAGGCAACCUGCCCCAUACAAAGGGAUAGCAUUUGGAAACGAAUAUUAAUACCUUAUGAGACUUAACUAGUGCAUGCUAGGUAUGUCAAAGAUUUAUCGGUAUGUGAUGGGCCUGCGUCUGAUUAGCUAGUUGGUGAGGUAACGGCUCACCAAGGCGACGAUCAGUAGCCGACCUACGGAGGUGAGCGGCCACAUUCGAACUGAGACACGGUCCAAACUCCUACGAGAAGCAGCAGUGGGGAAUAUUAGACAAGGGGGGUGACUCAGGAGCGGCAUCGCCGCGUAAACGAUGUAGGCCUUUGAGGCGUAAAAUUCUGUUAUAGGUGAUGUAAUCUGACAGUACCCAAAGAGAAAGCCCCGGCUAACUCCGUG
Molecule: ribosomal RNA, 479 nt
Filed under: uncultured bacterium
Lineage: Bacteria
Description: partial 16S ribosomal RNA
Rfam family: Bacterial small subunit ribosomal RNA
Source: RNAcentral